Molecule: ribosomal RNA, 500 nt
Filed under: uncultured bacterium
Lineage: Bacteria
Description: partial 16S ribosomal RNA
Rfam family: Bacterial small subunit ribosomal RNA
Source: RNAcentral
AUUGAACGCUGGCGGCAUGCCUUACACAUGCAAGUCGAACGGUAACGGGUCCUUCGGGAUGCCGACGAGUGGCGAACGGGUGAGUAAUAUAUCGGAACGUGCCCAGUAGUGGGGGAUAACUGCUCGAAAGAGCAGCUAAUACCGCAUACGACCUGAGGGUGAAAGGGGGGGAUCGCAAGACCUCUCGCUAUUGGAGCGGCCGAUAUCAGAUUAGCUAGUUGGUGGGGUAAAGGCCUACCAAGGCAACGAUCUGUAGUUGGUCUGAGAGGACGACCAGCCAGACUGGGACUGAGAGACGGCCCAGACUCCUACGGGAGGCAGCAGUGGGGAAUUUUGGACAAUGGGCGCAAGCCUGAUCCAGCAAUGCCGCGUGCAAGAAGAAGGCCUUCGGGUUGUAAACUGCUUUUGUCAGGGAAGAAAUCUUCUGGGCUAAUACCCCGGGAGGAUGACGGUACCUGAAGAAUAAGCACCGGCUAACUACGUGCCAGCAGCCGCAGUAA